UACGUAGGGUGCAAGCGUUGUCCGGAAUUAUUGGGCGUAAAGAGCUCGUAGGCGGUUUGUCACGUCUGCUGUGAAAUCCCGGGGCUCAACCCCGGGCGUGCAGUGGAUACGGGCAGACUAGAGUGCGGUAGGGGAGACUGGAAUUCCUGGUGUAGCGGUGAAAUGCGCAGAUAUCAGGAGGAACACCGGUGGCGAAGGCGGGUCUCUGGGCCGAUACUGACGCUGAGGAGCGAAAGCGUGGGGAGCGAACAGG
Molecule: ribosomal RNA, 253 nt
Filed under: uncultured bacterium
Lineage: Bacteria
Description: partial 16S ribosomal RNA
Rfam family: Bacterial small subunit ribosomal RNA
Source: RNAcentral